This is a long non-coding RNA of Pipra filicauda (Wire-tailed manakin), 12615 nucleotides long. RefSeq lists it as uncharacterized. The record is from RefSeq and is a predicted model, not a curated record. The transcript has 2 exons. Lineage: Eukaryota; Metazoa; Chordata; Aves; Passeriformes; Pipridae.
AAUUCCCCACGCCUUCCCAGCGGAGAGAGCAGCGUGGAUCCCCCUGGGGACAGGAAUAAACUGUGUCCUUGUAGAAAAAACAAUCCUCUUCCCAGCAGUGAGAAUGUCCUAGAUUUCCCUGCACCCACAACGGCCCCUUGACCCCAAGACCUGGUAGGGCAAUGGCUCCAGGACAGUGUCCAGGGUCGCCAGGACUGAAGAGGCACCUCAACAGAAUCCAUUUUUAGGGCGUUUCAGUGUUAAUAAGGUUUUCUUCAGUGCCAGGACUACAGAAAUUGCAUUCUUUCCACAAUUUAUUUUAGUUAUAAUUAAAUAAUACAGCAUUAGGGAGCACCAAAGGAAUCUCGAGGGGAAGGAAGAGGAAAGAUGCUGAAAUUAGGUCAUUCCCAAGGCUUUGGGUCUGCGAGGUCCACUGACUCGUUGGAGAAAGGGCUGUGGCAUGGAUGGAUGCUGUGCACGGGCAGAGCUCCUGCACAUGGCAAUGAACUGCGGGUCAGCUCCCUCAAAUUUGUCCGAUGGGGAGUAAGGCUGAAAAUAUUUCUAAACUCAUUUUCUUUUUCCUCUGGAGGGAGAUAAGAGUAAACAUGAAUCAUUCUUCUAAAAGUUUGAGAAGCAUGUUGUUCCAAGAAGAAAUAUGCAAUUUUUCUUUUUACAGUAACAAGUUCGCAGGAAACUUCAGGAGGCUUUUACAAAGGCUUGUAACCACUUUGAAGCUGGAGACUUUUUAUAUAGGUAUAGCACUUGUGUAACAAGGUCUUAGCUGUGAAUGGGAUUCCUGGGUGCAGUUGCAAUAAAGUGAUUAAUAGUAUCAUUCAUGGUAUCAUACCUCAUUCAUAGGUUUCCUGUAAGUAAAGAGGAAUACAUUGGCAGGAAUACAGUGGUUGUGACUUUAAACACGAUACUCUUGGGGGGAAAGUUACAGCAAACACGUGCACUGAAGGGCAAUGCAACUGGUAAAGCUACGAAAAUGGCUCCAGAGAGUAAUUUUUAGAUCAAAAAUCGGGGGGAAAAAAGCACACAAAGAGGUAGUUCUAGAAAGGUUUGUGGCACGGAGAAAGUAAGGUGAGUAUUACCACACAGCUUGUGUGGGUCAGGGGUGAUCACUGUUUAUUCAGAAACAAACACUAAGGAGUAGUGCUUAUUUGUUUGGGGUUUUUUGCAGUCUGGAGACAGAAAGGCCUGAUUUUGUUACCAAAAUGCUUAUCACCAAAAUGUUUGUCACUGCUGCUUGUGACACAUAUCCCUGAGAAGGCCACGGAGGAUGCAAAAGGGAAUGCAGAACAGUCAUCAAAGGAGAAGUAAAUGUCCUGGCCGUGGGCUGCAGCAGCUCAGGAUGCAUUUGGAGCCUCAAGAGAAGUGACAAAUAAUGGGUCAAUAUUUCCUAUAAAGCUGCUUAUUUCAUUUGAAAGCAAAUAACGGGUCAAUAUUUCUGCUUAUUUCAUUUGAGGAAUAAGUUGUUAAACAGCUACCAAGUGACUGAAGUAUGGAGAAGGGUGUCGGGUGAUAAAAUAUGACCCGGUGUUUCACUGUACCAGGAUCCCCAUGAUCAGCUAAAACAAGACAUUUAACUCGAUCCAAGAGGACAUCAGCCCUCGGGAGCAGGCAGGGUGACCAACACAGCGGUCACUUGGGCCGCCUCCCUGCCCAGGCUCAAACACUCCCCGGCCGGCGCUGCUCCUAUUUUUAAAUCUCUGUGCUAUGAAAGGCCCCGUUUCACAGCACCUGAAUUGGUGCCUUACAGGCAGGGACUCGGGAGUGUGUUUAUCACGCAGCUGUCAUCGCUUUUGAGGAAACAGGCCCAGGGCACUGCGGAUGUUGUCCUAAAGCCACCCGAGGAGACAGGCACGACGUGGCCUUUUGCACCAGGGCAGCUUCUGCUGUGUGGCACAGGCAAUGCUGCACAGAGCAAACUGACCCACGACGGCUGGACCCAGGGCCUUUUACCCGGGGAGGAAUGAUACACUGAAUUUUCAGUUACUGAAUUUCAUUCCGUCUUGCUUACAUUGUUUCACAGGGAGGUGUUUACCCGUUUGAAAAGGUAAAAUGUUCCCUCUACUUGCAACAGGAAAGCCCAGGAGUGAGUAUUGUCGCUGGAGAUAAUGUUACAGCCUUAGCAACGUGACACUUUAAAACUUCAUCAGUCUCCAAGAAUUUCAGAAAAAGCAAUGAAUGAAGGUAGCAAGUGUUAAGAGCAGGCAGUGCUUGCAAGAAGUGCCCUUACCAGCAGCGUUUUCAAGAGCUGUUUUCUGUUUCUAGUUAUCACUAGAGCAGCACAGCUCAGACCGCUUUUAAAUAAUUAUACUUAACAGUUAAAAAAACCCUCCCGUGCUAAAAUAAAUUUUAGCUAAGAUGGUUUUAUGCUUUGCAGCCUCAUAUGACACUCAAUCUUUCUCGUGUGACUGUUGUAACGAGUCAAAUUCAUGUAUUUUGAUACCAUGCACGUGAUAAAGAUGCUUGGAUCACUUAAGGCUGUACAAAACUGCAGUGCUCGCAUGUCAUUUAUCUUAAAAUCCUAUUGUAGUGCUCGUGAAACGUAAUUUCUUCAUUGAAUGGGAAUUUAUACUGACAGAGGUGUUAUAAAACAUGGAAAAUACUACAGGGAGGGGGCCCAACGUUUUCUUUAUCUCCUCAAGUGUUCACUAACGGGGAUUUAUUUUUCAGCUCAGCGUUGGUUCAUUGCAGGUUACAGAGCUCUGGUGCAAUUACAGGGACCCGCUUUCAGCCUUCUUAAGCAAAAUUCACAUUACUUGCAACAGGUUGGAAAUGUGUGCUGUGGCCUUGAGGCAGCAAACUGGUUCACAGGCUGCAGUUUCCAUAUUGGUUCCUAAAGCUGCUUGUAGGAAAUCACCCAGCCUAAAGGAACUCCUGGGAUCCCAGCCUCUGCCUUCCAGUUUCAAAAUGCAUGGGUAAGAAAAACCAAUUUAUAUUCAUAACCUUGAGUAAAUAAACUGUCACUUUAACUACACAUUUUAUUGUAAUUAAGCGCUUCCCAGUAAUAACCAACCCACACUAUGAAGCUGUUUCUUAAUAUAACAGUAAGGCAAGUUCUAGGCUGUGAGCAGAAUUAGGAAGAUUUUAAAAGCACAGACCAGUUGAUAUAACAGGGCAAUGUCACGCAGUUCUCAGCAUGUACAGAAAAGGUAGUUUUGCUAAGGAGCUUUAUCCUUAUUUUCAAGAAAUGCCAUUGCUGUGUGAUCAGCAAAAUCAAAUCUCACCUGUGGAAUUUCCCAGUAGGAUUUAUACCCAGUAUUAGCUUGACUCUGCUCCCAGUGGCUUUGCCUAACUCCAAAGGGAAGAGACUUGAGGCAGAUUUAGACCUUCCCCAGCUUUCUAAGGACCCGCUGCUGUCACCUCUCCAUAAUGCAGCUACAAUUAACUUCGCUGGAAUUUCUAUAUUUGAAGCAGCUCUAAAUUAGAGCCUGGACUUCCAGACAUGGAUGCAGAUAGUCUCUUCUGCUGUCUGUACGAGCCCUUGGGCUUCACACUAAAAAAGCCCACCCAUGUUGACAAAUUUGCCCUUUGCAGUCUGGCUUCAGUGCAGCCGGUAAAAAUAGCGAGUGAUGCAGCAGACAGAAUGGGCCCUAAACUAUAUUUUUUGAUAGCUUUUCUUAGCUCCAGACUAAAGAGCAAGGCAUCAGAUGUUGACAGAUUAGCGGGGAAUAUACCGAGCAAAGGGAUCUGUUACUGAAAUGCCCACAGUCCAGCGGUUUUGCUGUCGUCCAGAAUUUGAACUUCUCCCUUGGUUUCAGUUGUAUUUUGAUUAAAGCAUAAAUACCAGCAACUGGCACGUGUCAGCCGACAUCAGAGCUAUGUGCCAAAACUUUCUUCAGGUCAGAGCUUUAGUGACACUUUACUUAUCCAUGGAUUUUGUUAGGACUUCUGGGGCAUAGCUCAUUAUUUUUACAGCUGUAACCAGCAGUCGUUGGAUAAUUAUUUCCCUUUAAAUCCAGGAGAACUCUUCUUGCCUUUUGAGUGGGGAACUUAAUUGCAAGAAGUCUCUGGAGGAUGGUUGACGCUGGGUGGUAGUUGUACCAUGGGCAUGUUACCUGCCCCCAAAAAGGAGAAUCCAGGCUCUAAUCCAUACCCCCAAGUUGUGCCAGCUUGCCGGGUACCAAAGCACACCCACACUCGAGUUGGAGACUCCUGUGUUCAGACGAGGAGGAUUAGGGACAUCAUAUGACUAAUUCUGCAAUGACGGUAUAUGCUUAAUUGGUAAAGGACUGUGUUUUCUAUCCUUUUUAAACCCAGGUCACAGUGUCAAAAGUCUGGCUGACGUUUGAGGUUCCUUUCAGGUAUUUUCUUCAUUGAGAUUCACUGUAUUUAAAGCUACUGUGGUUGCCAGCUUUGUCUUAUUCCCUCAAGCGCUACUAUGCCUUUUAGUCAUAAGAAACCAGCAUUCAAAUUCCCCUGAAACACCAGGCUGUGCUGCUUUUGCAGCCCGCAGAGGGCCUUCCCUCAACCACAGGUACAAAAGCUCUGACUGUUGCAAAAGCCAGUGGCCAGGAGUCAGAAAAGCACAGAAUAUAUAUAUGUAUAUAUAUGUAUGUAUGUAUGUAAAAGCAGACUAUGGUCCUAAACUUUAGACAUGUCCUGCUUUUAUGCUCUCUUCUUCAGAUGCCCUGUAACAUAUAAAUACAGCGUUGUUGAUGCUUAGCUCAUAAAAAAAUAAAUACUCUCUAACUUCCAAGACAGUGUGUUGCAGCCAGUUGAAGUCAAUGCAUCUUAAAUUUGGUGGAAGGAAGAUGUUCCUACCAGCUGAUUGUAGUUAACCAUUCAAAGAGUUUACCAAGGGCCACAGCAGCAAAAUUCCUUCUAUUUAAAGCUGCCUGGUUACCUGUCAGGAAAAUGUGUUCCUGAGUUGGUGUAGCCACACUGGAAUUGCUUUUUGGUGACAACUCUGUGGACUGACAGCCUCCAGUAGUGUCAAUCUAUUAAUCUCUUGCUCUGUGCCUAUAAAGCAUUCUGUCCUCCUUCCGUUAGAAGCUGAAGGUAAGUAAAUACAGGUCCCAUCAUGAGAUCAUUUUGCUUGCAUUCAGGUUAUCCACAAAGCCUCUACUUGAGGUGGACAAGCAGAAGGGCAAAAGAAGAUCUUUCCAUCCUUGGCAUAAGGCCAGCCGAGGUGUGACGCUGUGAACCUGGGGCUCGGGAGCUGCAGAGCUGCCCUGGUCAUUCUGCUUUGCUGUGCACAACAGCCAGUGUUGCUGACACUGUCUGGGGGAAGGGCAAGGUGUUAAACUUGCUCUGAGCUUGGAGUGUUUUUGGACCAGGUCAGGCCAGCCUUAAGUGCUGCACGCCUUUGGGUGGCUGCCAGCAGAUCCUGUGGGGUUUUGUAACACCUAAAAAAGACCCUGAGAAUACAACAGCUCUUGAGUUUGCAGAGUGAGAAGAGCCCUUAGACUGUUUUCCAACCUUGUCUGCUUAAGUUACCAUCCUGUGUAAAAGAAGAUAGUAAUUAUUUACUCACAUUGUCUUCAGCUGUUGAUGUUUUACCUGGAAAUGCAAUGCAGGUCUUUUAAAGCACAUAUGGUGGCUACAGCAGCCUAGAGCCAAAGCCUGUCAUCUCUCCAGCUCCCUUGCCUUCCUCUCUCCCCAGGUGUUUAGUUGGCAGAAGGACAUCUUUCAAAUUCUGGUAUUUUAUUUAAAAACCUAGACUCAGUUUAAACUCAGAGGUUUUAAACCGGUUGCAAUUAAGCUUUAACAACGAGAAGGUUCUUAGGGAGGUGCUGUGUCCCUUUGAAAUGGCUUUUUGAAGAAAAGCAUCUGUAUCCCUCCUGAAGCCAGCUGGACUGCACUGCAGGGUUAAGUUUCACUGUUACCUGUGGCCUUGUGCCUCCUGACACACUCAAGGCAUGUAUGGAAGGACCAAUAAAACAUGUCCUGGAGUGUUUGGUGUAUUUUUAGAGUUUGUCCCAGAUUACUGGCCUUUGUCCCAGAUUUCAGUGGUUAGGGUAUAAGAAUGCCCGGUGGGGCUGAGUGCUUCCUGCAUUGCUCUCAGGAAGGCUUUAAUCAGGAAAAAUACCCUCUCAGAGAAGGCAAAUAAUUAAGUUUUUGUGGCACAUACUCUACUGCCAUUAGCAGGAGAUGAUAAACACUCAAGACCACAGUUUAAAUAGAACGAGGCAGAUGCACUGAGCUUUAAAGUGCAACAUUAUUGUGUUAUGUGGUAUUGAGUAAUGAAUUGGACAUUACUAACAAGGUAGUUUUCCUUUUGUCUUAUUGGGACCAGAGUUUGUUUUUACACCAUAAAGUGUCUACCUUUGCUGCUCAUGAUGGGAAAAUGCUGAUGUAAACCACCUGGAGGAAGCUCAUCCCACAUGCUGACAGUUGGCAAUGUGCAAGUGGGGAGCUAAUGCUGGAAGGGAUCUUCAGGUGUCAUCCUGUCCAUUCUCCUCCCUUUGACAGUGUUUAAUUGACCUAUGGCAUUCCUGAUAAAUGCUCAUCCUACCUCUUCCUGCAGUGCUCCAGGCUCACAGGCAUGAUGAGUUUAGCCUGCAGAACUUCUUCCCUCCUGUGUAACCUCAGCCUUUCCUGAUGUAAUUUGGUCCUUACUGAGUAUAUGGGGGAAUGGUUCCUCCUUUUCUCUCUUCUUCAGCUUUUACUCAUUGGAAGAUCAUCUCUCCUCAGCCCACCAAAGUCCAAACACUUCAAUUGUCCCUUCCUGACAUUUCUAGUUGUGCAGCAUGACACUCACUCCAUCCCUUGGACUGCUUAGCCAUAUCUCAGGGGCUAAAUUCCCUUGCUGAAGUCCUGGACUCCCCAUGCCAAUAUCUCUGGCAUCUACUCCUCGGCUCUGGGGAAAUUCUCUGGAUUCAGCCCUCCCAGUUAUUUUGAAGGUCUUUGGGAUGUUGAAGAGCUGCCUGAUGGACCCAUCCAAGCAAUUUCUGGCUUUAAUUUUCUUCCAUCUCGGUCUUGCCUCCUUACCUUCCUACCAACUGCUUCUUGCUCAGCUGUCCUAAUGCACUUUCUCAGACAAUUUCUUCAGCCUCAUGGCAUAGGACAUAGCACAUGUAACAAAUAUUAAGUAUAAAAACUAUGCUGUUAAGAAUCCAGUCACCGGUCCAUCAGUUUUGUAGGGAGAUGGGAGUGACACAGCACCAGGACAGAUGCAGAUAAAGUUCUGCUGCACUCAGUCAUGCCUGUGAGAACCUGCUCUCCUUCCCAGAGCUCCCCAGUAUUCAACUCUUGGACAUUUUGGCAUAUUAUCAGUGAUAAAUGUAUUCACAAGUGAGAGCAGACAGCCCUGCAGGUUGUGAUGCCAGAGUAUUGUGGGUUCUUGGCAUCAGCAGUGCCUGUCUGUGGAUUUCAGAUGAAUGAAACAGAAAUAUUUUUAUAGUCAGCCUCAAGUUUUUAUCUAUUUGUAGGUGUCUUGGUGUCCCCUAAAUAGGGAUUAGGUCCUUUGGCAGGAAGACUGCACUUUAUGUCUUGACUUUCCUGGCCCCGUAUCCACCCAACCUUCUCUUGCUCCUGAAGGCCACUGAUCUUGUCCUUUAUUUUUGCUACCAAAUGCCACUCAUUUAUAUUGAGAAGCAGGUUCCAGCAGCAGGGAAAUUAUCAAUAAUCCAACAAGCAACCAAUCUGUUUCUCUUUUCUUGUGACCUAUCCUGCUGUGGGAUGAUGCACCCACAAUAAUUCUUACUGUUAAUUAUUCACCUACAAUAGUUUAAAUGCUUGCAAGUGCCUACUGACAUCAGAUGUGGAAAGAAUUCAAUAAUAAUGGAGGGAGAAGAAAGAUUUUAAAAAAACGAGGAUGGCAUGAGAAGGCUGAAGGAUAUAUGGCAGAGGUACUGGUUGGGGGUAUUCUGGUGGCCUGGGUUCCAGCUCAGGCUUCUGCAGGAUCUCUGAUAGGCUUUGCUUUACUUAUCUCUUAAGUCCGGAUCAGAAUAGGAACAACGGACUUUAUCCACAGAAGUAAUUAAAAUGUUGCACUCCCUGGCAGCAGAGUUAAAAUCAAUUUCUCUAAUACAAGAUGAAGAACAAUUGGCCAGGCUGCUGCCAUGUGGAAAAAGAUCUGAGACUGUGAUGCUUGAGAGUGCAGCAGAAACCCAGUGCUGCAAAAAUCCAGCAGUUCUCCUGGGAUGUCGGUUGCGAGGGGCACACUGGCAUGGGUCAAUCUUUCCAUUCUGCUUGGCAAUGGCAGGGUCUUGGCUCAAGAACAAUUUCCACACCUCGGGAAACAUAUAGCUCAGCUGGGGAAGGCCCAAAGAGGUGCAUAAAAAGUGACUGGAGGUGUAGGAAACUUGCCUUUGAGGUAAAGCGGAGAGAGAGAAGUGUGUGGUCUGAGCUGAGACAAAACAAAUUGUCAAAUACAUGCAAGACUGAUGCAAAGAGGAGUGGCACAAUGUGUCCUUUUACCUUCUGCAAGUAGGGUGAGUAAUGGGCUUCAACUCCAGCAGGAACAACACAGGUAAAAGGAAAAAUUUUCCGGUGCUAUGGCUGUUGUGGAAUUGGCACUGCAGGAAGUUGUUAGCCAAAACUCUUGCAGGAGUGGUUGAGGUAUUGUUGAUUGUACUGGGAGCCCCUUAGAGGGGUUUAUCCAACUGUUUGGUUUUUUUUAUUUUCUCCAGUUGCCACUGAAUCACUGGAAUUCAGCACUGCAGCAUUUGGGAAGACCUGCCACAAUAGCACCUGCCUGUUUGUAAUCAAGAGGAUUGCAAAGCAAUCACAUGCAUAUUUAGCUGAUGUGCAGCUCCCAGGAUUGAUGGUGCACAGAAACAAGCUAAGAAAUGUGUGUGCUGUAACUGUGGAAGUUGGUUAUUCUGGAGCACUGAAAAUCCAGCUUUUCUUUGACAAGGAGAUGCUGCACGUGAGAAAUAUCGCAGGUUAUAUUUAGUGUUACAGAGGCACAAAGGAAAUCUCAUUAGAACCCACUGACAGUGAUCUGUUGAAAAGGGAAUAGGAGCGAUUUGUGAGCUCGUGGAAAAACAGUGCAUCUCUGUUCUGCCCUGUCCUCACUGUCUGCUGCUACUCUAGGACACAGAUUUCUUGAGAGAAGGAUCUGUGCCUGCUUGCCCAGCUAGCUCUGAUACAUCAUAUUUUAUUUGCUGGGAGACUCGAACAAUGAGCAGUAAACACUCCUGGUCCUGUUUUAAACACAUGGAAACUGCAGUACAGAGUAAUAAAAUGACUUACUCAGAGUCACAGAGCAAUUUUGUGGCAGGGCUUGGAUCAAAAUCCAACUCCCUUGCUCCCAGACCGGUGUGCCAGCCUUUCUCUUCAUUGACCCUUAAUUUUAAUCACCUACCAAGAAAUUCUGUUGGCCUCUUCCAGUUGACUUCCAAGGGAGUAAUGCCAGGUAUCAAAUGAAGUCACUGGGAAUAUCAAUGCAACAGAAGCCAAUAUCAGAUGCAAAGAAAGAACUGAUGGAAGGGGAAAAAAUAGAUUUUAAAAAAAAAAAAAAAAAAAAAAGAAAAAAAGAAAUAAGUUCUAGUGCCGUUUCCAUAAUAUCAUUCCCCUUUUAAUUUGUGCCUGGUCAAAAUUAAAAAAAAAUAGAUCGCUAAUAUUAAUAGAUGAAAUGAAUCUUGAAUUUUAUAAUAGUGGAGGAAAUGAAAGGAACAAAGUAAUAUUGUGUUGUUAACUGAGAUUUUAAUAAUGAUUCUGUCCUCAGUUGGUGCAUUUAUUCCACAGAAAGUAAAUCAUUAAUGAGGAGGAGGGGAAAACAGUUUUGUGGUGAUGGAUUUUUGAAAGAAAAGUUUAAUUUUGCUAAACUUCCAGAAACUCUGAAAUGUGUCUGGAGCUCUAAAACUAAAACACCAACACUUCAAAAACAGCUCGUAAAAGUGGGAUUUAGCCAAGUGGUUAACAUUGCCUGGGGAGUGGUGGAGGAUGUCCAUGGCUGCUCUCCAAGAGAACUGAGGUGAGUGGAUGAGGUAGGGAAGAGAUGCUGGUUUGAUGGAGGAAGGAAGGUUUGAAGGUUUGCUGUUGGUUGGUUGCAUUCUCGUAGCUAUUUCUGAAUAACACCUGGAGAGCAGUAGGACAUCAUCCUCACUCUGAACCAAGGAAAUCCCACUGGGCUCAUCCUACAUUUUUCUGUGGACUUCUGCAAGACCUGCUUCCACCAUGUCCUCUGCAGGGGGGUGGGUGUACUCAAAGCCCUCUGAGUGCUGUGAAGGUGUUUGAUUUCCCAGGUGAAUUAAAAACCCACCAAGGCUAGCAUGUCCACCUACCCACCAUUGCCUUCAACCACCUCCAAGGAGUCCCAAAAAAAAAAGGGCUCCCUGGAGCAACAGCCCAUUUCACACCAAGUCCUCUGGAAAAAAAUGUGAAGCAUGGGGAGAAUCACGGUCUCACAAUGGUGGAGGAGAAAAGCAUCUCUGUAGCUGAGAUUUGCUGCCUAAGAAAAAGCCAAUAUGGAACAUACGUGGCUGUUUCUGCAUGAAGGAGAUAGGGGAAAACACAGAAUUCCCCCGAUUCCUUAAUGAGCACAGCACCCCAACAAUUAAUGUAGAAAUUUGCAAAUUAAACCACAUUUCUGUAUUUAAAUUAUCAAAUCAGUAAAGAGAUGUAAACAUUAACCAACAUUAUAUGAGAGCCUGGAGUGUCACCACAAAAAAAUUAAGACUAUGUAAUUAAAAGUACAAUGCAAUUUAUUUUUAUAUCGUUCUUCAUUCAAAUCAACAAAUCUUAUUACUUACCCAAAAAUGUAAAGCAGACUGCAAACUAAUUCAAAAGAUGAAGACAAAGUGGCUAUUGAAAACUCUAUGUUUGUUGUUCCCUUAGAUCUGGCACCAGUCAUGAUUUAAUAUUUUAACCACUGUAAUAGGUUAUACUGCUGAAGAAAAGUGCAUUAAUUACUAUGGGAAACCUAAAAAAAAAAAUCUAAUUAAGAAGAAUAAAAUCAUUCUUAUUGACUGGGAAAAAUAAAACUAUGUAAAGGGAAAUGAGGGAUGAAAAAACUGACAACACACAAAUAUUAAUAAAUGUUGUCUGCUCAGGGUAGGAAACACAAUUCUACUGUUACUGGGGGUUUGGAUUUGAAACUGGCUGGAAAUCACAGUUGGCCAUGGCUAAAGCUCUUCUCUCACCCACUGGAAGCCCCUUCUAAUUAGCUGCAGCUUGGGAAGUUGAGUUUGCUUCAAGUUCAGCCCAACAUGUCCAUGCAGAGCCAGCCCCACUGGCUGUGUCUGAAACAACAGACUAAAGCAUGACAUGGAACUGUGUUUCAGGGUGUAGUAUGGGGUAAUGAAGUUAUUAUCUUGACAGUUGACAUCCUUCCUACAAAAUUAGAGAGCACACGUGUGAUAAAGCAGCCCAGUGUCCCAAACCAUGCCUGGGGACACCACAGGAAGGAAUCACCAUGGGCAGAUGCCACUCUGUCUUUCUACCAGCCACAGGUCUUUAAAGUAAUGUAAAAGGAAUGUUUUUAUGUGAAAUGCCUACCACCUCGUUUGCUCAGCCCCAGGGAAAGCCGUCUUUUGACUUCACCCCCAAGUAGCCACUGCAAGGGACGACCCACAUCCCCUUUCUGUGCCUUCACAGGAUCCUCAGGGAUGCAGGGUUGCUUUGGGAACAGGUGCAUCUUGUGUCAGCCAGAAACAGCAGCCAAAAGUGUUAGGAGGUGUUUAACUAUAUUUUUCCAGAUGUGAAACUAGGUGGGACCAUGUGGUUUUGUCAUUGCCAGGAUUGGACUCUGGGGCUGUGAUUUUGAGCUUCCAUCCCAAUUUGGAAUAAGAGUGUGUUUAUUUCAUGACUUUGAGCAUUCUUGUCAGCAAAAGUAGUUUUCUGCCCAACUUUACUGCCCUCAUUACUAAGGAUCCCAAUGAUGUCAAAAUGUCUAUGGAUGUUAAAAAGAAGGGAGAGGGUUCCAUAGGGUCAACAUCUACAGUGUUUAAACAAAUACACAUGGUUUAAUUACUUCAGCUGAUAUUAGUAGUAUUAAUGCCUUUUCAAGCAGAAGUAAUCCUUUGAUCACUUAUAUUUACUUCACAUAUGAAAUAGACUGCAGCAGUUUGGCCAGUUCUUUUGUGCCGAAUCCAGUAGCUUGUACAUCAUUAAUAUCACCAAAUAUGAAAAAUUAGUGGUAUAAAUUUUGCACAACCCUUCCAGGAUUACAAAUCUUCCUGAAAGGCAAGAGGAAUCGUCUGAGGAAUAAGGACUUCUAGGUCCAAUGAGUGCAUGCUCUGCCAGAAAGGAAGAAACUGAGUGAAAUCUUUGCAGCAAAUGAUGCUAUUAUGGAUGUGUACUUGCACAGAAAGCCAGCAAAAGGGCACUGCGGCACCUCAGCUGUGUUUUGGUGGUAUCACUGACACCGAGAGUCACACAGCUUUGUGCUCAAAGGAAGAGAUGAAUCACCGUGGACUCCAUUGGCAGUAUUGACAGGCUCUCUGUUGACUGGUGAGGGAGCCACGGGUGACUCCCUCAAGUCCAGAUUUCUGCUUUAGUUGGGUGAACCUACCGAGAGCUUCGUGCCCACACUGUAAGACUUGGAUGCCCUGAGCAGCCCAGACUGUGCCAUUUCAGUCAAUAACUUCUAUGGCAAGCACAGUAUUUUUGGAGAAGCGACACCCAUCAGGAGGAGUUUGCAAUGUAAGUGGACGAAAGAAAUAGCAGGUGGGGAACAGAAAUUCCCUGUGAUCAGUAGGAAAUAAAGUCUGUGCUUCCUGCACCACAUGCCUCAAA